This 445-nucleotide ribosomal RNA is filed under the name uncultured bacterium. RNAcentral's name for it is "bacterial SSU rRNA". It matches the Rfam family "Bacterial small subunit ribosomal RNA", at positions 330 to 792 of the family's 1533-position model. The record is from RNAcentral.
CCCAGACUCCUACGGGAGGCAGCAGUGGGGAAUAUUGCACAAUGGGGGGAACCCUGAUGCAGCGACGCCGCGUGGGUGAAGGAGUACUUCGGUACGUAAAGCCCUAUCAGCAGGAAAGAAAAUGACGGUACCUGACUAAGAAGCCCCGGCUAACUACGUGCCAGCAGCCGCGGUAAUACGUAGGGGGCAAGCGUUAUCCGGAUUUACUAGGUGUAAAGGGAGCGUAGACGGCAGUGCAAGUCCGGAGUGAAAGCCCGGGGCUCAACCCUGGGACUGCUCUGGAAACUGUAAAGCUGGAGUGCGGGAGGGGCAGGCGGAAUUCCUGGUGUAGCGGUGAAAUGCGUAGAUAUCAGGAGGAACACCGGCGGCGAAGGCGGCCUGCUGGACCGUAACUGACGUUGAGGCUCGAAAGCGUGGGGAGCAAACAGGAUUAGAUACCCUUGUA